GACGAACGCUGGCGGCGUGCUUAACACAUGCAAGUCGAACGGAAAGGCCCAGCUUGCUGGGUGCUCGAGUGGCGAACGGGUGAGUAACACGUGGGUGAUCUGCCCCUAACUUCGGGAUAAGCUUGGGAAACUGGGUCUAAUACCGGAUAGGACAAUCGUUUAGUGUCGGUUGUGGAAAGUUUUUUCGGUUAGGGAUGAGCCCGCGGCCUAUCAGCUUGUUGGUGGGGUAAUGGCCUACCAAGGCGUCGACGGGUAGCCGGCCUGAGAGGGUGGACGGCCAAAUUGGGACUGAGAUACGGCCCAGACUCCUACGGGAGGCAGCAGUUGGGAAUAUUGCACCAUGGGCGCAAGCCUGAUGCAGCGACGCCGCGUGGGGGAUGACGGCCUUCGGGUUGUAAACCUCUUUCGACAGGGACGAAGCUUUGGUGACGGUACCUGUAUAAGAAGCACCGGCUAACUACGUG
RNAcentral lists this ribosomal RNA (464 nucleotides) under uncultured bacterium. Its description in RNAcentral is "partial 16S ribosomal RNA". It matches the Rfam family "Bacterial small subunit ribosomal RNA", at positions 28 to 507 of the family's 1533-position model. The record is from RNAcentral.